CCCGCUGAACUUAAGCAUAUCAAUAAGCGGAGGAAAAGAAACCAACAGGGAUUACCCUAGUAACGGCGAGUGAAGCGGUAAUAGCUCAAAUUUGAAAUCUGACCUUUACGGGUUCGAGUUGUAAUUUGUAGAGGAUGUUUCGGGCAAGACUUUGGUUUAAGUUUCUUGGAACAGGACGUCAUAGAGGGUGAGAAUCCCGUCUAGAACCGAUAGUCGAGUCCAUGUGAAACUCCUUCGACGAGUCGAGUUGUUUGGGAAUGCAGCUCAAAAUGGGUGGUAAAUUUCAUCUAAAGCUAAAUAUUGGCCAGAGACCGAUGGCGAACAAGUACAGUGAUGGAAAGAUGAAAAGAACUUUGAAAAGAGAGUGAAAAAGUACGUGAAAUUGUUGAAAGGGAAGGGCUUGAAAUCAGACUUGGUAUUCAAUGAUCAAUUUUCUUUCGGGGAGAUGCACUCGUUGUUUACUGGGCCAACAUCGAUUUAGACGGUGAGAUAAUGACAGUUGAAUGUGGCUUGCUUCGGUAAGUGUUAUAGCUUCUGUUGAUAUCAUCAGUUUAGAUCGAGGACUGCGCAUUUUUGCUAGGAUGUUGGCGUAAUGAUUUUAAGCCACCCGUCUUGAAACACGG
This 623-nucleotide ribosomal RNA is filed under the name uncultured fungus. RNAcentral's name for it is "eukaryotic LSU rRNA". It matches the Rfam family "Eukaryotic large subunit ribosomal RNA", at positions 24 to 664 of the family's 3401-position model. The record is from RNAcentral. Lineage: Eukaryota; Fungi.